RNAcentral lists this ribosomal RNA (254 nucleotides) under uncultured bacterium. RNAcentral's name for it is "partial 16S ribosomal RNA". It matches the Rfam family "Bacterial small subunit ribosomal RNA", at positions 524 to 776 of the family's 1533-position model. The record is from RNAcentral.
UACGAAGGGUGCAAGCGUUACUCGGAAUUACUGGGCGUAAAGGGCGCGUAGGCGGCCUGCUAAGUCGAACGUGAAAUCCCCGGGCUCAACCCGGGAACUGCGUCCGAUACUGGCAGGCUUGAAUUCGGGAGAGGGAUGUGGAAUUCCAGGUGUAGCGGUGAAAUGCGUAGAUAUCGGGAGGAACACCAGUGGCGAAGGCGACUACCUGGCCUGUUUCUUGACGCUGAGGCGCGAAAGCUAGGGGAGCAAACGGG